This 497-nucleotide ribosomal RNA is filed under the name uncultured bacterium. Its description in RNAcentral is "partial 16S ribosomal RNA". It matches the Rfam family "Bacterial small subunit ribosomal RNA", at positions 28 to 507 of the family's 1533-position model. The record is from RNAcentral.
GAUGAACGCUGGCGGCGUGCCUAAUACAUGCAAGUCGAGCGAACGGACGAGAAGCUUGCUUCUCUGAUGUUAGCGGCGGACGGGUGAGUAACACGUGGAUAACCUACCUAUAAGACUGGGAUAACUUCGGGAAACCGGAGCUAAUACCGGAUGAUAUUUUGAACCGCAUGGUUCAAAAGUGAAAGACGGUCUUGCUGUCACUUAUAGAUGGUUCCGCGCUGCAUUAGCUAGUUGGUAAGGUAACGGCUUACCAAGGCAACGAUGCGUAGCCGACCUGAGAGGGUGAUCGGCCACACUGGAACUGAGACACGGUCCAGACUCCUACGGGAGGCAGCAGUAGGGAAUCUUCCGCAAUGGGCGAAAGCCUGACGGAGCAACGCCGCGUGAGUGAUGAAGGUCUUCGGAUCGUAAAACUCUGUUAUUAGGGAAGAACAUACGUGUAAGUAACUGUGCACAUCUUGACGGUACCUAAUCAGAAAGCCACGGCUAACUACGUG